This 469-nucleotide ribosomal RNA is filed under the name uncultured bacterium. RNAcentral describes it as "partial 16S ribosomal RNA". It matches the Rfam family "Bacterial small subunit ribosomal RNA", at positions 28 to 507 of the family's 1533-position model. The record is from RNAcentral.
GACGAACGCUGGCGGCGUGCUUAACACAUGCAAGUCGAACGAUGAAGCGCCAGCUUGCUGGUGUGGAUUAGUGGCGAACGGGUGAGUAACACGUGAGUAACCUGCCCCCUACUCUGGGAUAAGCCUGGGAAACUGGGUCUAAUACUGGAUAUGACCAAUCACUGCAUGGUGUGUUGGUGGAAAGAUUUUUUGGUGGGGGAUGGACUCGCGGCCUAUCAGCUUGUUGGUGGGGUAAUGGCCUACCAAGGCGACGACGGGUAGCCGGCCUGAGAGGGCGACCGGCCACACUGGGACUGAGACACGGCCCAGACUCCUACGGGAGGCAGCAGUGGGGAAUAUUGCACAAUGGGCGAAGGCCUGAUGCAGCGACGCCGCGUGAGGGAUGACGGCCUUCGGGUUGUAAACCUCUUUCACCAGGGACGAAGCUAACGUGACGGUACCUGGAGAAGAAGCACCGGCUAACUACGUG